Molecule: ribosomal RNA, 253 nt
Filed under: uncultured bacterium
Lineage: Bacteria
Description: partial 16S ribosomal RNA
Rfam family: Bacterial small subunit ribosomal RNA
Source: RNAcentral
UACGGAGGGAGCUAGCGUUGUUCGGAAUUACUGGGCGUAAAGCGCACGUAGGCGGCUUUGUAAGUUAGAGGUGAAAGCCCGGAGCUCAACUCCGGAACUGCCUUUAAGACUGCAUCGCUUGAAUCCAGGAGAGGUGAGUGGAAUUCCGAGUGUAGAGGUGAAAUUCGUAGAUAUUCGGAAGAACACCAGUGGCGAAGGCGGCUCACGGGACUGGUAUUGACGCUGAGGUGCGAAAGCGUGGGGAUCAAUCAGG